This 450-nucleotide ribosomal RNA is filed under the name uncultured bacterium. Its description in RNAcentral is "partial 16S ribosomal RNA". It matches the Rfam family "Bacterial small subunit ribosomal RNA", at positions 354 to 796 of the family's 1533-position model. The record is from RNAcentral.
GUGGGGAAUAUUGGACAAUGGGCGCAAGCCUGAUCCAGCCAUGCCGCGUGUGUGAAGAAGGUCUUCGGAUUGUAAAGCACUUUAAGUUGGGAGGAAGGGCAUUAACCUAAUACGUUAGUGUUUUGACGUUACCGACAGAAUAAGCACCGGCUAACUUCGUGCCAGCAGCCGCGGUAAUACGAAGGGUGCAAGCGUUAAUCGGAAUUACUGGGCGUAAAGCGCGCGUAGGUGGUUCGUUAAGUUGGAUGUGAAAGCCCCGGGCUCAACCUGGGAACUGCAUCCAAAACGGCAUGACUAGAGUACGGUAGAGGGUAGUGGAAUUUCCUGUGUAGCGGUGAAAUGCGUAGAUAUAGGAAGGAACACCAGUGGCUGAGGCGACUACCUGGACUGAUACUGACACUGAGGUGCGAAAGCGUGGGGAGCAAACAGGAUUAGAUACCCUUGUAGUCC